RNAcentral lists this small nuclear RNA (326 nucleotides) under Jaculus jaculus (lesser Egyptian jerboa). Its description in RNAcentral is "7SK RNA (ENSJJAG00000004169.1)". It matches the Rfam family "7SK RNA". From Rfam's summary of the family: 7SK was discovered as an abundant small nuclear RNA in the mid-70s but a possible function has only recently been suggested. Lineage: Eukaryota; Metazoa; Chordata; Mammalia; Rodentia; Dipodidae. The record is from Rfam by way of RNAcentral.
GAAUGUGAGGGUGAUCUGGCUGCAACAUCUGUCACUCCAUUGAUCAUCAGGGUUAAUUCGGUGGAUCUGGCUGGCUGGGCAGGUGUCCUCUUCCUCCCUCACUGCUCCAUGUGUGUCCAUCCCGAAGCUGCAUGGUCAGUUGAAGAGGAUGACCUUUCCUGAAUAGAGAAGGACUGUUCUUCAGUCAAGGAUACACCAGUAGGUGUGCUCUCCUACUAGAACCUCCAAAAAAGCUCCCAAGGUCCAUUUGCAGGAGAACAUAGGGAGUCAAAUUUAUAAGACUCCACACACAUACAAAUGAGCUGCUGCAUGUAGCAGUCUUCCUU